UUGUUUUUUAAUUAAAAACUAGAAUGAAAGGUUAUACAUUCAAAUUUCUUUAUUAAUUUUUUAAUAAAUAAUUUAUAUUAAAUAUAAAAAUAUAUUUACAAAAAAAAAAGACGACAAGACCCUAUUAAAUUUUACUUAUAGUUUAGCUGGGGAAGCUUUUCAAUUAAAAUUUUUUUAAAAAAUUAAAUAAAUAUCUAAUAAAAUUAAAAUUUUAAUAAAUUACUAUAGGGAUAACAGCAUUAUAUUUUUUAAAAGUUCAUAUUAAAAAAAAUGAUUGUGACCUCGAUGUUGAAUUAUAUUUUCUAUAUUUAAUGCAAUAAUUAUAUAAGUAGAUCUGUUCGAUCUUUAAAAUAUUACAUGAUUUGAGUUCAAACCGGUGUAAACCAGGUUGGUUUCUAUCUUUUUAUAUAUUUUUCUAGUACGAAAGGACAAAAAAAUUUUUAUUUUAAUAAAUUAGCAAAUAAAUGCAUUAGAUUUAGAAUCUAAAUAUAUAUAUAUAAUU
RNAcentral lists this unclassified non-coding RNA (502 nucleotides) under Anelosimus octavius. RNAcentral describes it as "partial contains 16S ribosomal RNA and tRNA-Leu (trnL)". The stretch from base 105 to 404 matches the Rfam family "Bacterial large subunit ribosomal RNA", at positions 2074 to 2646 of the family's 2925-position model. The record is from RNAcentral. Lineage: Eukaryota; Metazoa; Arthropoda; Arachnida; Araneae; Theridiidae.